RNAcentral lists this long non-coding RNA (622 nucleotides) under Ananas comosus (pineapple). Its description in RNAcentral is "long non-coding RNA (ACOM_LNC003992)". Lineage: Eukaryota; Viridiplantae; Streptophyta; Magnoliopsida; Poales; Bromeliaceae. The record is from RNAcentral.
UACUUCUACACCGUUAAUAAUUUUUAACGGCUGGAGCGAAAAUAAAAAUCAAUAAUACUUCUACACCGAAAGAUACUUUCAAAAUCAAUAAUUUUUAAUGGCUGAAAAUAAAAAUUCUAUAAAAAGUGAUGAUAUAGCAUUAAAAUUUUCGAUUAAAAAUAUUGACCUUGUUAUAGAUAGUAUAAAAAAUUUUGUAUCAAAAUUUCAUCUGAUUUGAAUAUUUCUACACCGUUAAACUUGAAAACGGCAGAUAUCAACCAUUAAAAAUUAUGGAUUUUGAAUCCUUUCGAUCAAUAGGUAAAUGAUAUCGAAAAAUCGCAAAAAUUAUUUUUUAGAAACUUCAAAUACGCUAGAUCAAAUCUAACGGAGCCAAUCGUCGAUUCGGAAACUCUAUCAUCAAAAACGGCCAUACUCAUGAAAACACAGCAACCAUGCUAUAUAUAUAUAUAUAUAUAUAUAUAUAUAUAUAUAUAUAGAGAGAGAGAGAGAGAGAGAGAGAGAGAGAGAGAGUGAGGUUACUAUGCUAUCGGCAGCACGGAGCCUUCCGUGAUUCCAGCUCGUUUUCGAUGUUGCAACUUUUGAAUCGUCGAUCGGCUCCGUUAAACUUGAUCUAGAGUAUUUG